RNAcentral lists this long non-coding RNA (489 nucleotides) under Mytilus galloprovincialis (Mediterranean mussel). The record is from RNAcentral. Lineage: Eukaryota; Metazoa; Mollusca; Bivalvia; Mytilida; Mytilidae.
UUUUUAGCUCACCUGGCCCGAAGGGCCAAGUGAGCUAUUCCCAUCACUUUGCGUCCGGCGUCCGUCGUCGUCGUCCGGCGUCGUCCGGCGUCGUUAACUUUUACAAAAAUCUUCUCCUCUGAAACUACUGGGCCAAAUUUAACCAAACUUGACCAAAAUCAUCAUUGGGGUAUCUAGUUUAAAAAAUGUGUGGCGUGACCCGGCCAACCAACCAAGAUGGCCGCCACGGCUAAAAAUAGAACAUAGGGGUAAAAUAUAGAUUUUGGCUCAUAUCUCUGAAACCAAAGCAUUUAGAGCAAAUCUGACAUGGGGUAAAAUUGUUUAUCAGGUCAAGAUCUAUCUGCCCUGAAAUUUUCAGAUGAAUCGGACAACCCGUUGUUGGGUUUCUGCCCCUGAAUUGGUCAUUUUAAGGAAAUUUCACCGUUUUUGGUUAUUAUCUUGAAUAUAAUUAUAGAUAGAGAUAAACUGUAAAUAGCAAUAAUGUUCAGC